Non-coding RNA from Musa acuminata subsp. malaccensis (wild Malaysian banana), 429 nucleotides. Lineage: Eukaryota; Viridiplantae; Streptophyta; Magnoliopsida; Zingiberales; Musaceae. The record is from RefSeq and is a predicted model, not a curated record.
GCGUCGAACGGACGCGGGAACGCGAAGGUUCGAACUUAGCGGUGUUACAAUAAAGCGCCAGAGCCCCUAUUUAAGGGGAGGAAGCGGGAAGCCAAAAUCCAUCUCGUCGUUUUCUCUCUUCUGCCGGCCCGACUCCAUUUCUAGGGCUUGGUUCUCGUUUUCUCUUCCCUUGCUCUGAUCUCCGGCUUCGAGGAGAUCCGGAGCGGUUCCAGCUCCUGUUCCGAUCUACUGAUUCCGAAAAUCAGAUAAGGAAAAAGUAAAGAGGGAAUCUACCUGCCUGAAUCUUCAGCUUAGAAAGCAAUACAGCACUCCAUGGACAUUUAUGCUACUUUGUUGAAAACUGAGGCAGAAAGCAUUUUGAGUAGUGAUUGAUUGGUACUGCAGCAAUUGGUCUUCGUUUGUUCUCUUCUUUACAAAGUGAAAUUAUAU